RNAcentral lists this ribosomal RNA (398 nucleotides) under uncultured bacterium. RNAcentral's name for it is "partial 16S ribosomal RNA". It matches the Rfam family "Bacterial small subunit ribosomal RNA", at positions 523 to 918 of the family's 1533-position model. The record is from RNAcentral.
AUACGUAGGGUGCGAGCGUUGUCCGGAAUUACUGGGCGUAAAGAGCUCGUAGGUGGUUUGUCGCGUCGUCUGUGAAAUUCCGGGGCUUAACUCCGGGCGUGCAGGCGAUACGGGCAUAACUUGAGUACUGUAGGGGAGACUGGAAUUCCUGGUGUAGCGGUGAAAUGCGCAGAUAUCAGGAGGAACACCGGUGGCGAAGGCGGGUCUCUGGGCAGUAACUGACGCUGAGGAGCGAAAGCAUGGGUAGCGAACAGGAUUAGAUACCCUGGUAGUCCAUGCCGUAAACGGUGGGCGCUAGGUGUAGGGGUCUUCCACGACUUCUGUGCCGUAGCUAACGCAUUAAGCGCCCCGCCUGGGGAGUACGGCCGCAAGGCUAAAACUCAAAGGAAAUGACGGGG